This is a long non-coding RNA of Odontomachus brunneus, 1669 nucleotides long. RefSeq lists it as uncharacterized. The record is from RefSeq and is a predicted model, not a curated record. The transcript is spliced from 5 exons. NCBI's taxonomy places the organism in Eukaryota, Metazoa, Arthropoda, Insecta, Hymenoptera, Formicidae.
AGUGGUGCCAAUUCCAGAUACAUAAAUAGCAACUCUUAUAAUAGCGUCGUUAAGCUUAAUCUUUAAAUGCCAUUUAUCCAUAAAAUGAUCAGCUUUGAUAAGUCUGUCUUUAGAGAACAAACAAAAGGCAGACUUAGAACACGAAAUUUCAAGACCGAGCUGACUAAUAUUCUCAUUAAAAAUAGGUAAAGCCUUAUUAAUCAAGUCAUAUACAACAGGUAUUAAUUGACUAGAGGUAUACAGACAAAUGUUAUCUGCGUAAACAAGAUAGUGAACAUCCUCCGGAAGAGAACGAAAAAUGAAGGAGAUAAAUGUUGAAAAGAAUAGGACUGAGCACCGAACCUUGAGGGAGGCCACCUUUAGCGGUCCUAGAGCCCAGCGAAGUAUCUCCCACGAAGCUCUCUACAGAUCUGUGACAAUAAAAUCUGUUUCAAUAAAAAGUCAAGAAAUUUCAAAUAUUUUACAGACAAAUGCAACUGUUUUAAAAUGUUCAACAUAGUGUGAGGAAGAAUAGUGUCAAGGGCUCCACGCAAGUCAAUGAAAAUGACACCAGUAAACAUAUUCCUGAAAAAACCUAACAGUGCAAUUAACGUUAAUGCCCAAUCAUAAUGUAAUUAAACAGAAAGGCUUUCAUGCUCUACAGAAAGCAUUGAAAUUUCAUGAUAUUAUUUACAACAAACCAUGUCAAUGUGGUGUCUGUUGUAACAACCGAAACUAAUUGCCUUAUUUUCAUAGAAUUAGAUAUCAGAGCUGAUCUUCAAUCUACUGCAAAAUCUUGUAAACUUAAAGAAUUACCAACGAUAUUGAUAUUGGCAAAGCAAUAUAGACUGAUAGGUGUUGUUGCAGGAUAUCCAGGUCAUUUUGUUGCUUAUUGUAGAUGACUUUCAGGACUAUGGGAGCAAUAUAAUAAUUUGAAUACUACAGUAAAAUCUUGUACACAAAACGAAUCAAUUACUCCCAUCGCUGCGAUUUAUAUUAUUCACGAAGAUAAUUAAAUGAAAGCAUUGAAGUUGGCAAGAGAAUAAUAAAAUAAAAUAAAAUAAAAUAAUUGAAAGGAACGACGAACGAUUAUAAAAGAUAAAAAACUUUUGUAUUCUAUUGUAUUUUGUAUUCUACAGUACAUACAAAAUCAAAUUACGCAAUUAGAUAUCAGAGCUGAUCUUCAAUUUACUGCAAAAUCUUGUAAACUUAAAGAAUUAGCAACGAUGAUAUAUUGGCAAAGCAAUAUAGACUGAUAGAUGUUGUUGCAGAAAAUACCAGGUAAUUUUGUUGCUUAUCAUAGACGACUUUCAGGACUAUGAGAACAACAUAAUGAUUUAAAUACUAUAGUAAAACCUCAUACGAAAUAAAACAGUAGUUUAGUCCUAUCAAUGCAAUUUAUUAUAAUUCAUAAACAUAAUUAAAAUAUGAGUUGCAUGUCAAAUAUAAUAACAAAAAACGUGUCUUUAAGAAUAAAAUAAACUUGCCAAAAAGAAUAGGACUUAAAAAAAUAAAAGAUCCAUAAAACUUUGUGGCAUCUUUUAAAUGUAGAAAAGCAAAAACUGGCAUUCAUAGCAGCAAUUCAUAAAUUGGUGCGUUUGAUGUGAGAUUUGUUGAUUAUCUAAAACAGACAAUGUAUCUUAUUUUAUAUAUAUUAUAUACGUAUAUGUAAAAAACGCACAAAAACAGA